ACGGUGGAGAGGGGCUUCCCCACACCUGGGUCAAGCACAUCCAGUCUGCCGCUGUGAGCUACAGACGGACACUCCCUCCAAGGUCUGACUAGGACAUGGGUCAGACAACAGCAAGACAGCUGCUAAAUAUAUGGCAGAAGAGCUUUCCAGGGCAGAAAGGUAUUGCACAGUUGACAAAAAGGGCGACUGUCGAGGAGUGGAGCCACCAGAAGAUCUGGAGAAAAUGCAUACUAUUAAAAUUAUCAUCUUAUUUCAAUAUA
Molecule: long non-coding RNA, 260 nt
Filed under: Ixodes scapularis (black-legged tick)
Lineage: Eukaryota; Metazoa; Arthropoda; Arachnida; Ixodida; Ixodidae
Description: uncharacterized LOC115320471
Source: RNAcentral